CCGAGCCGUGACUGCUGCCUGCAUUCUCUCCUUGCUUUGCUUCUCCUGUUGGAUCAGAUGGGCUGCAUUGCAUUGAAGUGUAUUAAUUGUCCUGUGAAGCUGAAUCCUGCAAAGUGCAGUUUCUUGCCACAGACGUGGAGCCAGAUGGACCCAUCCCUUGAGUUUGCAUCAGACCACAGAGAUUGCAUCGAAACCAACCCCAGCACCACUGACGUCUUAAGAUGCGGAUUCCAAUAGCUGCUAAGUGUCUGUGGCGUCGUCCUAAGUCUUCACAUCUGCUGCUGCGCAAUUAGGCGUCGUCAGUUUGGCUCACACCUCUCUGACAUCAUCAUCCGUUCACACUGAUCUGUUUAGAAACACAUCAUCAGGGAAAAUGUAUUGUGUAUGAAUUAGUUACAACCCUUGGAAGCGCAUGUCGGCAUCGGAACAGAUGAUUUAUUCUUAAUUCAUGUGUGCGUGUGAGUUUUGUGAAGUUGGUGGCACGAUUCUGUGAUGAUUCACACUCCAAGCUGUUAGUGACUGGAGUAAAUAAGGGUACGGAUCCAGCGUCACUGUCAAUAACUGCACGGGUGUCUGUCACAAUGUGAAAACACAGACGUGCACGUCCUUAUCGCCUGGGGACAGGAGGAGGAGGCACCGACAUCACACCAACACUGGAUCCUCAGUGAAAACACAAUACUGACGGCAGCUGUUGCGCUACGCGGACCGGCUUCACCCUCAGCUGACGUUUGGCCAAACCGCUCCGCAGCCUGUCACAGUCCAUCAGAGCACGCGGGAUACAGUGGGAGCCGCUCCACGCGCCGGCUGAGCCCGCUCGCACGGCGCUCCUUCGUCCAGAGCGCGCGCGAACGUGGCCGCGCCGCGUCCGCCUCGCUUCCGCUCGCGUCCACGCGUGUUCCACGGUCUGACGCGCAGUCUGGCCUCGGGCAUCGAGCACAUGAAGCCUCUCUGCGAAAACGCGUUCAUGCGCGCUCCCAACGCUCGCGCUGUCUGCCUGCCUUCGGUGGGACGCGCGCACGUGCUCGUGCACGUUCGCAACAUGUGCACAGGCUGUAAGCGGAGGUUGGUGUCUGUAGGUGUAGCAGGUCAUGGCGUAAAUGAAGAUUAAUACUGAUAGGAUUUUAAAUAUUCACUCCUGAAGUUAAACUCAUAAUAAAAAGUUGAGUCCU
Long non-coding RNA from Betta splendens (Siamese fighting fish), 1169 nucleotides. RefSeq lists it as uncharacterized. The transcript has 3 exons. Lineage: Eukaryota; Metazoa; Chordata; Actinopteri; Anabantiformes; Osphronemidae. The record is from RefSeq and is a predicted model, not a curated record.